This is a non-coding RNA of Elaeis guineensis (African oil palm), 4120 nucleotides long. The record is from RefSeq and is a predicted model, not a curated record. Lineage: Eukaryota; Viridiplantae; Streptophyta; Magnoliopsida; Arecales; Arecaceae.
ACUACAGUGAGCUCAGUGAUGGCGGUCAAACGGUUUUUUUCGGGAUAUUGAUUCAUUUCAAAUCCAAAUAAUACCCAUUAAGUAAUGCUUCAUAUCAAUUUGGGAUUUAUCUCUCAGAAAUCGGAAGCUGGAGCCGGUCCAAACCUCCCCACCGAUUGAGACUCCGGAGAACGGAAAAACGAAAUGAAGUACCCAACCCAAAACCCCGGCCAUCGUCUAAGCUUCCAUGUUCGGCUGCUCCAAGCCUCCCACCAGGUUGGGACUUCCGAGCACAGAAACAAAAGAGGAAAGAUGGGGAAACAUGGGAAAAAUCAACGAAAACAAAGGAAAGAUGGAAAAAAUUUAAGGAAAUCUGUGGGAAAGGAGAGCACCUGAGAGAGAUUAGAAGGGUUUCUUAGGUUCUGAUUGGGUUUCUUUCUCGUAUAUGGGGCUUUGUGCGAGUUGUGGCGGUGUGAGUUGGUUCCUUGAGGUUUUUAGAGCUUAAUCUUGAUAGAAGCAUGAUAUUUCCACAACGCCAUCCUCUCCGAUGCCUCCAUCCAUGCCACGGACGGCCAUUCCAUGGUCAAGGGCAUCAGUGCUGCCUCCUUCGUCUACAUGUUCAUGAUCUUCUCUCUCCACCACCCACCGGCCGAUGUGCCUCCUAUCGAGCAGAGGGAUGGGGCGGGAAGAAGCGUCCUUUCGCUAUGCAGGAGACGCUACCCCAAAAAAUGAGUAAAGUUGGAAGGGUAGUUUUGGGAUGGGCGCCAGCAAAAUAGGAAGCCCGCCCUAUAUGAUAUUUGUUAGGGUUUCGGGGGUAUCACCGUUGCAACGAAUAUUUUCUCGUUUCGGGGAGGUUAUGGGGGGGAAGAGAAGGCAACGGUGUCGGCUCUGGAAGCGGCGGAGUGGCGGAUCGGCCGUGUGGAGACGAAAACUAAACUCCAAGCGUUUAAUCGCUGAAGAAGAAUCCCACUAUGAUGGUUUCCAUGUAGUUUUCAAUCUGAAUCCCAGAGAAUAAGAUCCGCCCAGAUCCGCUGCUCGAGCGGCGCCUACUUCUUCUUACCCCCUCGUGAUGGGAUCUGAAGGCCUCUUCUCUCGACGGCUAAGAGGCACGUCAUAUUUGCUCCACCGCAGGCGGUGCACAAAGAAUUUCUCUUUUUUUUUUUUGUUAGGGUUUUGGGGGGAGGUCAUGGGGGAAAGAGAAGGGAACGGUGUUGGCUCUGGAAGCGGCGGAUCGGCCGUGUGGAGACGAAAACUAAACUCCAAGCGUUUAAUCGCUGAAGAAGAAUCCCACCAUGAUGGUUUCCAUGUAGUUUUCAAUCUGAAUCCCAAAGAAUAAUAUCCGCUGCUCGAGCCGCGCCACCUUCUUCUUUCUCCCGAUUCAUCCCAAUCCCACCCUGCCUCGUGAUGGGAUCUGAAGGCCCCUUCUCUCCUACCAAAAUCAAUCCUUUUCGGUCGUCUGAGGAUUGCGUUGUAGGCAAACCAUGAAACCCGCCCCAUGUGAUAUUUUGUAGUGCCCGCCCCAUAUGAUUUUUGUUCGAGGUCAUGGGGGUAAGAGAAGGGAACGGUGUUGGCUCUGCAAGCGGCGGAUCCAAGCGUUUAAUCGCUGAACAAGAAUGACGCCAUGAUGGUUUCCAUGUAGUUUUCAAUCUGAAUCUGAAAGGAUAACAUCCGCUGCUCGAGCCGCGCCUCCUUCUUUCUUCCGAUCCAUCCCAAUCCCACCCAGCCUCGUGAUGGGAUCUGAAGGCCCCUUCUCUCCUACCAAAAUCAAUCCUUUCCUCUUUUGCUCACGUUUUUUGUUUUUGUUUUUUUUUAAAAUUUUUUUCUGAUUAUAUUCGGUUGUUUUCGAGUUUCGAAUUUGAGAGCGUUUAUCGAUUUUGCUAAGCUGAAACCCCUUUUUUUUUAUUUUUACAUAUACUUCUGAUGUUUUGAAAUCGGGAAUAUUUCCUGUUGUAUCAACCACCAUGAUUCGAAGCCCUAGCUUUUUCUUUCGAUUUUUUUAAUUACUAUUUUUUACUGUUGGAAUUGAGGAUUGUGCAUAUGACGGCUUUUGCCACCCAAUUUUUUUAGACCGAAUUAAGAACAUAUCAGAGAUGUUUGGUUGUUUCUGCCUACUAAUCUUUUUGGUUUGCUUUGUGAGGUUUGUCUAUUGCAGAUUGCUGUGAUUGUAUUUUAUAUUAUUAUUAUUUUUUUCCCUCAUCAGCGCGGAAUGACAGAGCUGGGUUCUACAAGUAGACUGUAUGUUUAGAAUGACAUUUUGAUUAAAAAUUGGAGUUACAAAUGUAUGUUUGGUCGUCUUUUUUCUUUUUUUUUUUAAUUUAAUUUUCAGAGCACAGAUGUUAGGUUAUGUUCUGAUUGGCAGAUGCAUCUUUCAGUUCAUGUAAACUGGGCUACAACCUACGGCUCAAUGGUUGCAUAUAUCUUAUGGGUUCUGCGUUGGAACCCUGAGAGUUGUUCGAACCGUUCAUUCUUCAACCAUUUUUAUGAAUUGAUCUGGGGGCAGAGGGUUUCUGAAGAUCUUUCAGAACCUCGUUUUGAAGAACAUGUUUGGUCCAACCCUAGAUUUUUUUUCAUCUGUUUGGUUUGUGAAAAACUUGGUGGUCAACUUUGAUUUAGUUUCCGGUCUUUCAGUUCUUAUUUCCACUGUGCAUCUAUUUAUUUUUUUAACUAUCUACUUUAUACUUGCAAGCAUAGAGUUCACUAGGCUUUGGCGUGUUUGAGUCAGCAGAAUUAAUUUUUGCUUUCUUCUUGUUGUAGCAUGUUAUGAUUUAUUUUUUUUAAUUUCCAUCUCAAGAUAGUAAAGUGGCUAUAUUUAUGCAUGCAUUAUCCAACUAACAAAGCAUCAAUUUAUGAAUCUGAAAUUGCAAAUAAUAUUUUGAUUUUGGAGUUGUUUUGAAUGGUGUCGUACUUAAAACUAAGCAAACGGUGUAGGUUGUAUAUAUUGUUAUCAUGAGAAAGAGUACUUCAUUAUUUUGCAAAAAGGGUUGGUUAGCUGGUUUUUAGUCCCUUUUAAUGGUACAACGGUCUAAUCUUAGUAUUGACUAUUUUUGAAAUUGUUUUGUUGUUUUGAUCGUUAAGCAUACAUGGAUAAUCAUUUUUAGAUUUUUGUAACAUUCAUGGAAGACAUGAUCUGAGAGCAGGUCUCAGAAUGAGGGGAUUUUCAGACAUUAAUGUGAGUUUUGAUGAGCUUUUAUGUGUAAGGUACUUUUCAGAAUUAAAUUGUAUUUGCUGUUAUAGUUGCAGUGUAAGAAUCUUUAUUUGCACAUCGUAGUUUGAGUCACCUCCUGUCACAGCCUGAUUCCAAUUUACAGUGGCAUGUCUACUUCAUUUUUUACUUUGAAGGGUUGUGAUUUGUAAAUUUGAUCUUUCCUUUUCAUAUCUUUUGAUAAUCUGGAUUUUUAAUGUCUUUAAAUUACCAAAUCAGUCCGCUUAGACCUGGAUAUCAAACGUAAAUUUGUCAUGUUAUUGGGGAAUGUUGCUUCAUUUUCAAUUGUUGUAAUUGAUUUCAAUGGUUCUGGUUUUUUAUACAUGACUUUACAUACCAAUUGGCUCCAACUCAUUGUAAGCUCUUUUUCUGUUUAAUACGGGAACAGAAAUGGUUAUAUUUAGGAGAGAAGUCCGUUUGACUCCAAGCGUUCUAAUGGCCGGUCUCUGUUUACUUGAUUGAAUUGCCCGAUUUUGAUCUUCUCGUCUCUAUGAAAGUGGACUGAGUGAAAUACAUUACUAAGCCUUUAUGCAUGUCUCUAAACUGGCUGUUUUACGGCUGGAGUUUCUGCAUUGCUACUGAUGGCUUUUUAUUUUUUUAAGCAAAAAAAAAAAGAGCAUUCUAUUCUAUUAGGAAAAGAAAAUUAAAAUUCUGUGGUAUUGCUAGUGUACUGUACCUGCAAAUUAUUAUCCAAGAUGUAAUCCAGAAUGCACAGUAUCAAAAUAAUGCUGAUAGUCUUAAAAGGCAAACGUGUUGGAUGGUGGUGCAAUUUAGAGACCGUGGAAUUACCGUUGAUGUCAUUGUACAUUGCUAUAUUGUUGUAUCUCCAUCCUAAUGUAGAAGUACAUUUGGUUGGGAGCUGGACUCCUACAGAUUAUGAUCCUCGUGCAUGUAAUGGGCUUCAAUGUUAUACAUCAAUGUGAUAUUGUUCAGUUUUAA